Molecule: long non-coding RNA, 3588 nt
Organism: Anopheles arabiensis
Lineage: Eukaryota; Metazoa; Arthropoda; Insecta; Diptera; Culicidae
Exons: 8
Source: RefSeq, a predicted model, not a curated record
CUGCCUUCCACAAUCUGCGGGAGAACAGAUACCCUUUUUGCUUUUCCCUCCACCUCUACCGAAGAAGCUCUUCGUAGGGCAGGUGCCUUGGAAGCCAUCAGCUGGGUUGUUGAUGCCCGUCUACCAAAGCUGGUGGCCGAAGCCUUAGACGGGGACAUCGUUCCCAGCGAGCUACGGCGGACGGAAUAUCUACUCGUCACUGCCUUCGAGGGACAAGCGGAGCGUGUGUUCAUCACCAUUUUUCUACUGGUUAAUUUCUACGGUUAAAUUCUAUGAAGGUUAUUAUGAUUUCUACUGAUUUUCUAAGGAAUUUCGCUAGUAUGUUAAUUGAUUGAUUAAUUAAGUAAUUAUUGUCAAAAUAGGGACGAAUUUUAUUUUCAAACUUUUUAAUUAAAACGGGAAUUGGAUUUAUUGUGAAGUUUAAAACGUAAGAUGUCAAUGGAUUUCACGCUGUAAUUAAAUUGUCAAUUUAUUUUGCUGUCAAUGUGAUGAGACGUUUGAUGUCACUGUCAGUCAAGUUAUUGAUAAAGCUGUCAAAUCUAUUUGGAUGUCAAUGGUACCGUGAUGUUUUACUUCAAUGUCUAAUGAUUGCGAUUUAAUGUCAUGGGAAUAAACAAAAUAAGAUUAUUAAAGUUAUAUUGUCAAAUUGUUUGCAACGGAGCAAAUAUUAACUGGGUUAGAUGGUAUUGAUAAUAAAAGAAAAAGCUUAGGAAACGAUUUAAAUUAUUGAAAGCGGAUUUAAGUAAUCUUAAAUUAACGUUUUGAAAAGGGGGAAUUUAAUAAAUUGAAAAAGUUUAACGAGAUUUAAAUUUAAACUUAUUAACUGUCAGUCUAUUUGAUGUCAAUAACGGUAAAUGUCAGGUUUAAACAAGCUGUCCAAAAAAUUUAAAUGUCAACUUUAUACGACGUUGUGUAUUAAAAGUUUUAAUGUCAAUCGAGUCUAACGGUUUUAUUAUGUAUGGAAAACAAGGUAAUAGUUUAAAUAAAUUUAAAUGAAUAUUAGUUCUUUAUGGAUCUGAAAGGGUUGCUUUAACUGGCCGUGAGGCUUUUCAAAUUUUAAAAGUUGUUGUUAUUAAUCGUAUGAUAUUGAGAAUUAAUUAUGAAAAUUAAAUUAUUAAUUGUGGGUGUAGGCAAUCAAAUUUAAAUGGAUAAAUUAUAACGAAGGUUUUUAAUAGCCCUUGAGCAAAAACGAGUCUUAUUUAAUGAGAAUAUUUAAAUAGAAUUUUAAUUUAAUCGGUUGCAGCUGCCAAGAAUUUAAAUUAUAACUGUCAACCAAUUAAAGAUGUCAAAGUGACGUGAGGUGUCUGAUAAUAUUGUGCUGUCAAUUUGAUUCUGUGUCAACGUUCCCGGCAGGCAAAUGACAUUUCAUACUACGGCGAGGGGUGUUGAAACGCAUGGAAGAGCAGGAAGAAACACGGACGAGCGCUGAUGAACUGCAACUGUGUGCGUGCAACAGCACCAAACGGCCUGUGACGACGGACAGUGUGUGGAUGUGUGUGUGUGUGUAAUUUUAGGCAGCGAAGAUGGAUCGAGGUUAUGUUUACAAAGUGAAAGAGUUAGAUGCAGAAGCAUCUUUGUGAUAAACAUGAAUUUUAGUUGCAUAAUUUUAGUGUUAAAGUUUGUAAUGAGAACUUAAAAGUAAUGACUAAUGGUGCUAUUCACUUGUUGGCGAAUAUUGAAGCGUUGAAAUAUUGAAGCUUCCUAUGUUAGUUUGUUGUGCUUAGUGUGAAGCUCCUGCUGCAGCCUGGUGUUCAUCGUCGGUGAUCAUCAUUAUUGGUGACGAAGGCAGCACAGGUUCGUACACCGGAAACGUUCUGAUCACUUUUCCUGGUUAUAUUUUUAGGCAAAUUUAUCACAACAGGACCAGUUGCUCGUUCAGUCGUUAUGUACGAUGUACCGGCGCUUGUCGAUGGCACUUGGUUACCACCAUCAACUAUCUUGCCUGGCGGACGGAUCUGGCUAGGAACACAGAUUCUCUAGCAGCCGCUAUCACCGAUGCAGAAGCACUGGUGUGUAAUUGUUGUCUUACAACAGCGGACAUCAUACCACGCUGAUUCUUCGGAGCAUGAACUUCGACAAGCGAUGCAAUCGAUGGUACUGCAGAUCCCGCCAAUGUCUGUUGUCUACCGAUCUUCAUGCCUGAUUCCUGCGGUAGAGCAUCAGCAACCGGUACCACUGAUGGCGCAGCAGUACUAGUUGACGGUUGCUGUCCAUGUUGCUGGCCUAACGGACGGAAUGGUGCAGGAACACCAGAUGUUCAACAACACGGACUGGCAUUCUUUGUUGACUCGCGCUGACCGGCCACUGAAACCACCGAAGGCACUGCACUUGUUGUCGGAAGUUGUCCAACAACACGGACCGGCAAUCUGGGAGGACGGAUAGCACGAGGAAUGGCAACCGGAACCACCGAUGGCACUGCACUUGUCGUCGGAAGUUGUUCAACAACACGGCCUGGUACAUCUGACUGACGAAGCUACUUAUCACAUACCAGCGUUUUAUGUCCCCAUUCUUGGUGUUUCCGGGUUACUCGCCAUCGCGCUGUAGUCGGAUCAUACUGCACCUGUCCUGCUUCGAUUAAUGCCUCCCCAAAGACAAAAUUAGAGCACGCGUUCCUAUUCCUCAUCCUCCGGCGCCGUUUGGAGAAUGUGGGAGUCACUGCUUUAUAAAAACCACCGGUCUACCACAAACUGGAAACAGCGGAAAACCCCGAGGGUCACCGGCCACCAUGCUUAAUUGAAGCAAAGUUGAACUAAUCUGCCGCGACGAAUAUCAGAUCGCAACUGCUAAUAAUUUCGUCGUCUGAGGCGGACUGUUAUGGAGGUACAAAAUCUUCAGUGAUGAUGAAUGCGUUCACGCUUCUACGAGCCGGUAAUUGGCGGUAUCCAGAUCAUCGUCGUACUGUUAGCUUACCUAAGCUACCGAAAUUAGCGACAGUGUAAAAUCUGUGCUGUGAGAAUUACAGCUGGCUCUCACAACCGUCCGGAAGUCGCAGUGAUUUGGUAACAUCAAGAUCAUCACCAUCGCACGAAGCGCAGCAUAUUGACGCAAGCCCAAGCGGACAGCAACCACCUGCAGCAAACGUACGCUGAACGAAUGGUCGUGGUAGAUGCGUUAGGAUUGCAAGGUGAUACUUGCGCUCUGAAAAUGCUAGCACAGAUGUUUGGGCCACAGAGGUGACGUUCCGAGAUUGUAAAAACAUGCCGGGCCCACAGUUUCAGAUAAACCGUUCUCAUCAAUACCAUACCAUGUACGGUCGGCUAGUUACACUUCAUCACGAAGGACAAUCACAUCUGGAUGACGGAAUGCUGCCAAAACGAUGAAGCUGGCUGAGUCCUCGAUGACGACGCAACUCCUGCACGUUCGUCGUCAUACUAUCUUUUCAACUGGAGGCAUGUUUGUUUAGGCGGCUACAACAAAUUGUUUGAACAUGUUCAAUGAAACAAAAAUGUUGUUUUGGCUUCUCACAAUUACUGGUGAAUGCUGGAAAUCUCCGUGAUAGCCGUUUUCGUGUGCUGAAUUAGGUUUGUAUGAAAAAUAGUGUAUUUUUAGAAUAUUUAAUUAUCAAUAAAAUAACGGUCGAUUUGAAAA